AAUCAACGCUGGCGGCGUGCCUCAGACAUGCAAGUCGAACGAUUAAACUUCCCUUCGGGGAAGAUAUAAAGUGGCGCACGGGUGAGUAACACGUAGGUAAUGUACCUUUGGGUGGGGAAUAACUUAGGGAAACUUAAGCUAAUACCGCAUAAUGCAGCGGCUCCUUCGGGAGACAGUUGUUAAAGAUUUAUCGCCUAAAGAGCAGCCUGCGGCAGAUUAGCUAGUUGGUAAGGUAACGGCUUACCAAGGCUACGAUCUGUAUCCGACCUGAGAGGGUGGUCGGAAACACUGACACUGAAUAACGGGUCAGACUCCUACGGGAGGCAGCAGUCGGGAAUUUUGGGCAAUGGGCGAAAGCCUGACCCAGCAACGCCGCGUGAAGGAUGAAGUCUUUCGGGAUGUAAACUUCGUAAGAAUAGGAAGAAUAAAUGACGGUACUAUUUGUAAGGUCUGGCUAACUACGUG
This 465-nucleotide ribosomal RNA is filed under the name uncultured bacterium. RNAcentral describes it as "partial 16S ribosomal RNA". It matches the Rfam family "Bacterial small subunit ribosomal RNA", at positions 32 to 507 of the family's 1533-position model. The record is from RNAcentral.